Molecule: ribosomal RNA, 253 nt
Filed under: uncultured prokaryote
Description: partial 16S ribosomal RNA
Rfam family: Bacterial small subunit ribosomal RNA
Source: RNAcentral
UACGGAGGGUGCAAGCGUUGCUCGGAAUUAUUGGGCGUAAAGGGCAGGUAGGUGGUCUUAUUUGUCAGGGGUGAAAUCCUGGAGCUCAACUCCAGAACUGCCUUUGAUACUGAGGAUCUUGAGUUCGGGAGAGGUGAGUGGAACUGCGAGUGUAGAGGUGAAAUUCGUAGAUAUUCGCAAGAACACCAGUGGCGAAGGCGGCUCACUGGCCCGAUACUGACGCUGAGGCACGAAAGCGUGGGGAGCAAACAGG